RNAcentral lists this signal recognition particle RNA (268 nucleotides) under Actinomycetota bacterium. RNAcentral's name for it is "signal recognition particle sRNA large type". It matches the Rfam family "Bacterial large signal recognition particle RNA". From Rfam's summary of the family: The signal recognition particle (SRP) is a universally conserved ribonucleoprotein involved in the co-translational targeting of proteins to membranes. Lineage: Bacteria; Bacillati; Actinomycetota. The record is from RNAcentral.
UCGUGCUAGGCGGGGCGCUAGGGGUGCCCUAUUCUCGAAACCCUCUUCAUGCGAGGCCGAAUCCCCGCCCGAGGGCGUAGCUGUUCGGGCAGCACGGCGUGACGUGGUGUUGAGCAUCGGGUCCCGCCACGGCGAGGCGCUGUGAAUUGGGUCAGAUCCGGAAGGAAGCAGCCCUAAGCAGUCAGUCUCGGGUGUGGUGGGAGCGCUCGGUGGGAGCCAGGAAACGCCGGAAGCGCCGGACACGUUACGUUCGACGGCGGGGGCGCAC